This 69-nucleotide transfer RNA is filed under the name Heterocephalus glaber (naked mole-rat). It matches the Rfam family "tRNA". Rfam says of the family: Transfer RNA (tRNA) molecules are approximately 80 nucleotides in length. Their secondary structure includes four short double-helical elements and three loops (D, anti-codon, and T loops). The record is from Rfam by way of RNAcentral. Lineage: Eukaryota; Metazoa; Chordata; Mammalia; Rodentia; Bathyergidae.
UGGGGUGUAGCUCAGGGGCAGAGUGCUUGCCUGGCAGGUGGGAGGCCCCAGGUUCGAACCCCACCCCAU